Molecule: transfer RNA, 85 nt
Organism: Felis catus (domestic cat)
Lineage: Eukaryota; Metazoa; Chordata; Mammalia; Carnivora; Felidae
Rfam family: tRNA
About the family: Transfer RNA (tRNA) molecules are approximately 80 nucleotides in length. Their secondary structure includes four short double-helical elements and three loops (D, anti-codon, and T loops).
Source: Rfam
GCCUGGGUGGCUCACUUGGUUGAGCGUCUGACUUUGGCUCAGGCCAUGAUCUCACGGUUUGUGAGUUCGAACCCCGCAUUGGGCU